AGUGAACGCUGGCGGUAGGCCUAACACGUGCAAGUCGAACGGCAGCACAGUAAGAGCUUGCUCUUACGGGUGGCGAGUGGCGGACGGGUGAGGAAUACAUCGGAAUCUACUUUUUCGUGGGGGAUAACGUAGGGAAACUUACGCUAAUACCGCAUACGACCUACGGGUGAAAGCAGGGGAUCUUCGGACCUUGCGCGAUUGAAUGAGCCGAUGUCGGAUUAGCUAGUUGGCGGGGUAAAGGCCCACCAAGGCGUCGAUCCGUAGCUGGUCUGAGAGGAUGAUCAGCCACACUGGAACUGAGACACGGUCCAGACUCCUACGGGAGGCAGCAGUGGGGAAUAUUGGACAAUGGGCGCAAGCCUGAUCCAGCCAUACCGCGUGGGUGAAGAAGGCCUUCGGGUUGUAAAGCCCUUUUGUUGGGAAAGAAAAGCAGCAGGUUAAUACCCCGCUGUUCUGACGGUACCCAAAGAAUAAGCACCGGCUAACUUCGUG
RNAcentral lists this ribosomal RNA (492 nucleotides) under uncultured bacterium. RNAcentral's name for it is "partial 16S ribosomal RNA". It matches the Rfam family "Bacterial small subunit ribosomal RNA", at positions 29 to 507 of the family's 1533-position model. The record is from RNAcentral.